AGGAUAAACGCUGGCGGCGUGCCUAACACAUGCAAGUCGAACGAGUUUUCUGUCUUCGGAGAGAGAGCGAGUGGCGGACGGGUGAGCAACACAUGGGUACCUACCUUGGAGUGAGGGAUACCGGCGAGAAAUCGCCGACAAUACCGCAUACGCUUCUCUUCACCGGGAAGCAAAGUUGCGCAAGCGACGCUUUGAGAUGGGCCUGUGGCCGAUUAGCUAGUUGGUGGGGUAAGAGCCUACCAAGGCGACGAUCGGUAGCUGGUCUGAGAGGACGAUCAGCCACACUGGGAUUGAGAACGGCCCAGACUCCUACGGGGGGCAGCAGUGAGGAAUUUUCCGCAAUGGACGCAAGUCUGACGGAGCAACGCCGCGUGCAGGAUGAAGGUUUUCGGAUCGUAAACUGCUUUUCGUCGGGGACGAGCAAGGGACGGUACCCGAGGAAGAAGCCCCGGCUAACUACGCGCCAGCAGCCGCGGUAA
Molecule: ribosomal RNA, 479 nt
Filed under: uncultured bacterium
Lineage: Bacteria
Description: SSU rRNA
Rfam family: Bacterial small subunit ribosomal RNA
Source: RNAcentral